UCCGACUUAGCUCAGUUGGUAGAGCAACGGACUGUUAAUCCGUGGGUCGCUGGUUCGAGCCCAGCAGUCGGAGCCA
Molecule: transfer RNA, 76 nt
Filed under: Nannocystis sp.
Lineage: Bacteria; Pseudomonadati; Myxococcota; Nannocystales; Nannocystaceae
Description: tRNA-Asn
Rfam family: tRNA
About the family: Transfer RNA (tRNA) molecules are approximately 80 nucleotides in length. Their secondary structure includes four short double-helical elements and three loops (D, anti-codon, and T loops). Further hydrogen bonds mediate the characteristic L-shaped molecular structure. tRNAs have two regions of fundamental functional importance: the anti-codon, which is responsible for specific mRNA codon recognition, and the 3' end, to which the tRNAs corresponding amino acid is attached (by aminoacyl-tRNA synthetases). tRNAs cope with the degeneracy of the genetic code in two manners: having more than one tRNA (with a specific anti-codon) for a particular amino acid; and 'wobble' base-pairing, i.e. permitting non-standard base-pairing at the 3rd anti-codon position.
Source: RNAcentral